Crotalus tigris (Tiger rattlesnake) is the source of this 1501-nucleotide long non-coding RNA. RefSeq lists it as uncharacterized. The transcript is spliced from 4 exons. The record is from RefSeq and is a predicted model, not a curated record. Lineage: Eukaryota; Metazoa; Chordata; Lepidosauria; Squamata; Viperidae.
GAAAAGGUAUAAUAGUGAAAAGUAAGAGCAGGAGACCUCAAGAUUGUAAAAACCUCGAAAAGGGCCGGGUACCGCUUUGGAGAAGACGGGAGCCUGGGAGGCCGUACAACGGAGCAGUUGGCUGUAGAAGGAAGCGAGUCUCGGCACAAUCAUGUGCAUGCAGGUUUUCUAUAAAUGAUCUCGUACCACAUGGCUGAGGCUGCACGUGACUAAAGCCUUAAAUCACUUCCCAGUUGGAUGACAGCAAUGUGCUCUAUGUGGGGCUACCUUUGAAGAGCAUUCAGAAGCAGCAACUAGUCCAGAAGCCCAAGUUUUGGGAUUGCCGAAGGCUUCAUGUACAAUUCAAGUGUUUCAUUUUAAUGAACAGCUGUGUCUGAGCCAGCAGUACAAUGUGACUUCCAGCAAAAUACAGAAAGUACCUUAUCGUUACAGGGUUACUUCCUGUGUGUUUUAUGCUUUCAAUUUCACAUUAUAGCACUAAAUUGAUGGAAUUAUGCAACUAUGGAAAAUCACCAUUUGGGAUCUUUUGUAAGCAGUCUCAUGACUAGCUGCAGCUCCUCUACUGUAAACAUCUUACUGCCUACUUUUAGCCCAGAUUUCUUAAAGGUCUAAGUAGAAACCUUUCUCAGAAUUUAUUGUUCAUUAAUUAUGACCCUGUUUUUUAAAAAGAUGUUACAAUUGAUAAUGUUGAACUAUUGUUUUCUUUCUUAUGUAAAAUUCAUCUGGAAUUCAUUCACAUGAACUCAGUUUGGUGCUUUGUAGUCUAGUAAUAAUGACCAUUAUUGAGACCAGAAUCACGGGCACUGAGUGAAGCAGUUAUUAAGUAAGAUUACAAACCUGGCACUCCAGGCUGUGGUCAUUAAGCAUCUCCCAGAUCAUUAAGUGGCCAGAAUAAAGGCCCUGCCCAUUAAAGAAUUUCAGUUCUGCACCUGAAAUCCUCCUGGCUGUUAGUGAGUACUGCCUGCCUGAGGGUUCCCAUGCAUGGAGGGGAAAUCCUUUAUGGAGCUGCUGGAAUGGGUGUGGGUUAGCUCUGUUCCUGCAGCCUGCCAAAGGAUUUCCCCUCCCCUCCAUGCACAGAAAGGAAAUCCUUGGUACAGGCUGCAGGAUUUACAUGCCCCUCUGAUCUGACAUGUUAAGUAUGGACCGUAAGUAUUUGGCUGCCUGCAAGGACUACUUGUAUUUGUACAUUCCACAAUUACCUUCUGCAUUUCAAUUAUGGAGACAUUUAGAACAAUAAAAAACAAAUUUAGUUCUUCCUAAGAGCCUACCACUUUGCAGCACAAUCUACCUACUCUUUAUGUGAAGCGGUAAAGGCCUUCUCUAUGUCCCAUCUAAAGAAGAAACACAACUAGUUGAAACCAAACUUAGAACUCUCCAUGUCUUCAUUUAUAUUUUUAAUAGAUUAUCCUACUAAAACAGGGCUUUUCAACCUUAUCACAGAUUGUACCACUUUUAGGACAUGACAAUAGUUGAGUACCACCAGUGCUUAGCAAGGUGUCAA